GACGAACGCUGGCGGCGUGCUUAACACAUGCAAGUCGAACGGACUUUUAAUGAAACCUAGUGAUUUAAAAGUUAGUGCGGACGGGUGAGUAACGCGUGGGUAACCUGCCUCAUACAGGGGGAUAACAGUUAGAAAUGGCUGCUAAUACCGCAUAAGCGCACAGUACCGCAUGGUACCGUGUGAAAAACUCCGGUGGUAUGAGAUGGACCCGCGUCUGAUUAGCUAGUUGGUAAGGUAACGGCUUACCAAGGCGACGAUCAGUAGCCGACCUGAGAGGGUGAUCGGCCACAUUGGAACUGAGAAACGGUCCAGACUCCUACGGGAGGCAGCAGUGGGGAAUAUUGGGCAAUGGGCGAAAGCCUGACCCAGCAACGCCGCGUGAGGGAAGAAGGGUUUCGGCUCGUAAACCUCUGUCCUAUGGGACGAAGAAGAUGACGGUACCAUAGGAGGAAGCCCCGGCUAACUACGUG
Molecule: ribosomal RNA, 470 nt
Filed under: uncultured bacterium
Lineage: Bacteria
Description: bacterial SSU rRNA
Rfam family: Bacterial small subunit ribosomal RNA
Source: RNAcentral